GUGAUUCACAGCCCGAUUUAUGCUUGUAUGAUCAUCAUUUGACUUCAUUGUGGCUACAUUUGGGUACAUUUGGGUAAUUAGUGGGACCGUAUUUUUACAGCUAGCAAGAGUAUGAGGAAAGCCACUUAGUUCUUGGCGAAUUGUAACCAUGGUAGGUCUACAGGAAUUAAGUAGUGGGGCUGUGGCAGAAUCCUAUUACUAUUUACAAACUACAUAUUCAGGUAACCUGUUCGGUUGAUGCUCCAGUGUACUAUAGGUGUGAUCUCUGUGUUAGGUGGUUUUGUGAAAAGUAUGCCAUUAUGUUUGUAUACUGUACUUGAAGUUGUAUUGUACUUCACAGUGUAUCAAACAGGAAGUGUUUCAAACAGGAAGUGUAUUGUUGGUACUCCAGUGUACGAUGUAUAAGGGUAGUGUGGUGUCUUGUUUAAAGAUACACCAAGUAUGGGUGAUUGUGGAAUACGUAAGGUACCUUGUUGACAAGUGUCUUACCCUCGAGUCAUGCCACCUCAGGUUAGAAGUAAAGUCAGAAAGUAUAGUAAUUGUUGAAGUAGUGGGACAGAGAGAGAAAGUAAAGUAAGGUAUUUUAGGAAGUAGAUCCCCUUCAUUGGUUUUUUCCCCUGCCCCUACAAUGGUGACAGCUGUAGGGAUGUAAUUUAAUAUGGUAUCAAGUUGGGAAGAAUGAACGUGGUGCUGUGGGCAGUUUUUAUCUGUGAUUCGUAAUAACCAUUUCUCUGUACGGGUACCUAAUAACCAUUUCUCUGUAUCUAGUGAUUAUUCCAGUUUGCUAAUAAGUUUUUAUUUUUUUGUGAAUUCUGUACGAGUUAGGUAGGGACAUAAUUAUUCCAUAGGUACUUAUUGUUUUUGUGGAAACAGUGUUGAUGGAGUGUACAGAAUUUUUUCUUUGUGUUUUGGCGGAGAAUUGAAAGAACAUUUUACAGUUAAAUAUUUUACUUGGAAGUUAGACAGUGAGAAUAUGUUUGGGCCAUGGCAUUAGUGUUUUGGUAAAGUAUUUCAUCACAGUAGUCGUCCAAGGUUAAGUGGAUGUGUACUUUGUAGCUGUAACAUUCAUUAAAUAUUUAUGUGUUAGGUAGGACAUGGCCUAACGUUUAAUAUUUUGUAGUGUGUGUAUUGAUAUUCCUGUAUAAUUUUUGUGUAUGCUGUAUGCUUUUUGAUUUUAACGAUAUAUUUUAGAAGGUGCUAACCUAAGAUUUUAAAUGCAGAGUGGUUCAUUUUUGGCCUUGUGUGGAGUAGCUAACUUUAUUGUUGGUAUUUGUGGUGCUCUGUUAUGUGAGAUCUAAUGCCCAGUAUAAUUUCAGAGUAUUGCCUUUGAUUGUGUUUGAGGACCUUACGGUGAUACUGUAUGUGGACACCAAGUGGAUGCAACCUUUCAAAAUAGAUUCUUGUACAGUGUAUGAACCCGCAAUUACAAAGGUGUGAUUGGACAGAUGUAAGAAAGAAAUAUUAUGGUAGCAUCAGGAGGCCAUCCCACACAAACAUCUCCCACCACAACCAAGAAUUAAAGCUCUAUAAAACAAGAGGCAGAACAAUUCCUCACAACUGUACAAUAAGUCGAUACAGUAUGAGGAUUAGUGAACAUCUUCUAGAGAACAUUGCAAGCAAGAUUAAGGUAAAUUGUCAACUCUUCAAGUCUUAAGUUACAAAUAUGAAAGUCAAGUUCGCAUUCUAGGAAACAGUGAGAAUAAAAAGAACGUUCACACGAGUGGAUCUUUCUCCUGAAAAUGUCAGCUAAGUGUUGCACUGUGUUAUAUAUUGUUUAACUACAGUAUGAUGAGUGUUGCAAUGUUUCUACCUAAACAUUUACCUUGUGACUCUUGUGCUUGUGUACACUGCUGAUAAAAGUUCCAAUAUAUAAAUGUGACAAGUGCUUGUCUGCUGUGUUUGUAUACUGGUGAGAUAAAGUUCACUUGUGGUAAAUAUUUCUCAUACAAUAGUGAGCUCAAGAACCACACACAUGUGCAGAAUUAUUUAUGCCAAUUUAGCUGUGAACACUGAAGGAAGUAUUUUCUUGUAUGGAGUGUUGUAAAGUGUGUAAAAGAUGGCCCAGUUUAUGAAUGAAAUGGAUGGACAUGGUGGCCAAAAUAAUUAUGAGUGUGUACAGUGUGGUGAAUUAUUUUACAGUAAUGAAUCUUUGAAGAUGCAUACCUGUAUGGCUGAACACAUUGAUGAGAUAGAUAUUAAGUAUGAAGAAGUUGAUGAGAGUUUUAACAGUAACUAUGAUGUGACACAACAUGUGACUGUUGAUGAGAAAGAUAUUAAGUGUGAAGAGUUUGAUGAGAGUUUUAACAGUAACUAUGAUGUGACACAACAUGUGACUGUUGAUGAGAAAGAUAUUAAGUGUGAAGAGUUUGAUGAAAGUUUUAACAGUAAUUAUGAUGUG
RNAcentral lists this long non-coding RNA (2398 nucleotides) under Homarus americanus (American lobster). Its description in RNAcentral is "uncharacterized LOC121870589, transcript variant X2". Lineage: Eukaryota; Metazoa; Arthropoda; Malacostraca; Decapoda; Nephropidae. The record is from RNAcentral.